UUCUUUAACUUUGAAUUUAAAGAAUUGUUUCUUCCUUGAUAAAAAGAAGACUAGAUUACAGGAAUAAAGGAAAUUUUAACAAGAAUGAUGUGCAUUAUUAUGCGAUGUGUCUCUUUGUUCACUUGCUUGUCUGUGUAUGCACCAUAUGUGUGUAGGGGACCACAGAGACCUGAGGAGAGCAGAGAAGGAAGGACACUGACACUCAGCUCACUGUCUCUUUUUCAUUCAGUCAGGACCCCAGCCCAUGGGAACCCUCAUUUGGGAUAAGUGUUUGCUUCUCAGUUAAAGCUCUUUGGACGCGCCCUCCCAGACACACCCCAGGAAUGGCAACUGGCUCGUUUCAAAGCCGCUUGACAGUGGAGAUCAACCAUGGGAUGUAUUUGUGUGUUUCUUUCCCACUGAAGAUCGUGCUUAUGACGGGCAUGUCACCUGCAGUUCUCCUCACUUCUGCUCUGUCUCCUCACGUGCUGCUGUCUGAACACCUCUCUCUUCUCUGCAGCAGCACUGGUGAAGGGCUCCUGGAUGCUCCCGGCUCAGAGUGCUGCAGAUAAUAGUACGCACACCCAGGUCUGAGCACCUUCUCCUUAAAUGUGAGCUGGAGCUAGUAAUUCACAUCCAGUGACGGAUAUGACAAGACGACAGGGUGCCACUUCUGAAGAGUCUGCUCCUGACUGCUGGGAUCAGAGACGAGUGCCACCACACCUCAGUGGGGUUUUCUUUGUCUUGACCCUAAUUGGGAUUUGUAAUGAUCCUCAACCUGUGGGUAAUUGUCUUCAGUCCGUUUGAGAAGAGGCUGUUUUCUCUCUUUAAAAUAAAGGAUUUAUUUUUUAA
Meriones unguiculatus (Mongolian gerbil) is the source of this 831-nucleotide long non-coding RNA. RefSeq lists it as uncharacterized. The record is from RefSeq and is a predicted model, not a curated record. NCBI's taxonomy places the organism in Eukaryota, Metazoa, Chordata, Mammalia, Rodentia, Muridae. The transcript is spliced from 2 exons.